UACACAAAUGUAGUAUACCUCUGAAGACCUUCCGAUCAACUUUUCUCAGCUGCAUCCGAUAUUGCUAAUACACCAUAAUCCAGCCCUGCAAAGUCACAGCUGACAGAUUCUAAAGCCAGGCAAAAUCAAAGUCACGCUUCUUGGAGGACUGCCUGUGGUCUUCGUUUGAUCCAUGUAAAAGGAGCAGCAGGACGUCUGUCUCACAACCAGCAGCCUCCGUGUCUCAACAACAGUCCACGUCUCUUCUCCAAGCCCAAGAAACUCCUUUGCCACCACAAUUUUCAAGGCAAUUCUGAGUAUAAACUAGCUUAUACUCUUCUAUGGAAAAGACACAUUCAGUGGACAGAAGAGACACACAGGCUUCCCAGAAGCAGUGUGCUGUAUGACUGGAAAUAACACUAAAAAGUCAGAGUUUUGAGCCUAGCUUGACCACUUGAAUGGAGUUCUGGCUUCCCUCUUAAUAAAAUGGGCUAAUUCUUGCCUUGCCUUCUUCACAAAGUUAUCAAGAUCAAAUAAGAAAAAUGAAAGCAUUUUUUAAAGUGCUUUUAUGUUUGUGCAUGAGUUGAACAAAGACUCCUUUGGAUCGUCUUAAAGAACUCUACCGGGUCCGAGGAACUUAAUGAUGGACUCCAUCCCAGACAUGGACAGGAUCUCUGACUCCUGAGGAAAGAGUCAGCAGCACAUCACAUAAUGCAGGAAGAACAUAGGAGAGCAACCGUGGCGCUUCAGAGUCUCCCUGCUCCUCCCCUGCAGAAGUAUCAGGAGUAAGAGCCCAGAUGACGCUGUGACCACCUCAGGAAGGUUUUCAGCUUCUACCUAAACUGAAAGUAAAAUAAUGCCUUUGUCACACUUGCUGCAAA
Suricata suricatta (meerkat) is the source of this 860-nucleotide long non-coding RNA. RefSeq lists it as uncharacterized. The record is from RefSeq and is a predicted model, not a curated record. The transcript has 2 exons. NCBI's taxonomy places the organism in Eukaryota, Metazoa, Chordata, Mammalia, Carnivora, Herpestidae.